UGGGGGAUAUUGCACAAUGGGCGAAAGCCUGAUGCAGCGACGCCGCGUGGGGGAUGAAGGCUUUCGGGUUGUAAACCUCUUUCGCUAUCGAACAAGGCCCGCUUAGGGUGGGUUGAGGGUAGGUGGAGAAGAAGCGCCGGCUAACUACGUGCCAGCAGCCGCGGUAAUACGUAGGGCGCGAGCGUUGUCCGGAAUUAUUGGGCGUAAAGGGCUUGUAGGCGGCUUGUUGCGCCUGCUGUGAAAACGCGGGGCUUAACUUCGCGCGUGCAGUGGGUACGGGCAGGCUUGAGUGUGGUAGGGGUGACUGGAAUUCCAGGUGUAGCGGUGGAAUGCGCAGAUAUCUGGAGGAACACCGAUGUCGAAAGCAGGUCACUGGGCCAUUACUGACGCUGAGGAGCGAAAGCAUGGGUAGCGAACAGG
RNAcentral lists this ribosomal RNA (420 nucleotides) under bacterium. Its description in RNAcentral is "partial 16S ribosomal RNA". It matches the Rfam family "Bacterial small subunit ribosomal RNA", at positions 355 to 776 of the family's 1533-position model. The record is from RNAcentral.